This 497-nucleotide ribosomal RNA is filed under the name uncultured bacterium. RNAcentral's name for it is "partial 16S ribosomal RNA". It matches the Rfam family "Bacterial small subunit ribosomal RNA", at positions 28 to 507 of the family's 1533-position model. The record is from RNAcentral.
GAUGAACGCUGGCGGCGUGCUUAAUACAUGCAAGUCGAGCGAACGGACGAGAAGCUUGCGUUUUUGAUGUUAGCGGCGGACGGGAGAGUAACACGUGGAUAACCUACCUAUAAGACGGGGAUAACUUCGGGAAACCGGAGCUAAUACCGGAUAAUAUUUUGAACCGCAGGGGUGAAAAGAGAAAGACGGUCUUGCGGUCACGUAUAGAUGGAUCCGCGCUGGAUUAGCUAGUUGGUAAGGUAACGGCUUACCAAGGCAACGAUGCAUAGCCGACCGGAUAGGGUGAUCGGCCGCACUGGAGCUGAGCCGCGCUCCAUGCUCCUACGGGACGCCGCAGUCGGGUACCUUCCGCAGUGGGCGAGAGCCUGACGGAGCAGCGCCGCGUGAGUUAUGAAGGUCUUCGGAUCGUAAAGCUCUGUUAUUAGGGAAGAACCUCUGUGUAAGUAACUGUGCACAUCUUGACGGUACCUAAUCAGAAAGCCCCGGCUAACUACGUG